CGCUGCCGUAGCUGGUGGCCUGGACGAUCGAUUGCCGGUCGAUGCCGUAGGCGAUGGCCUGGCGGACCCGCGGAUCGUUCCACGGGGCGCGG
RNAcentral lists this transfer RNA (92 nucleotides) under Mycolicibacterium madagascariense. RNAcentral describes it as "tRNA-Gly". The record is from RNAcentral. Lineage: Bacteria; Bacillati; Actinomycetota; Actinomycetes; Mycobacteriales; Mycobacteriaceae.